GUUUCUGUAGUUGAAGUACAGCGGUAGUUUUUCGAGUUGCGGGUCCAGGUUAAAUUCCUGGCAGAAAUA
Molecule: transfer RNA, 69 nt
Filed under: Callulina kreffti (Krefft's secret frog)
Lineage: Eukaryota; Metazoa; Chordata; Amphibia; Anura; Brevicipitidae
Description: tRNA-Glu
Rfam family: tRNA
About the family: Transfer RNA (tRNA) molecules are approximately 80 nucleotides in length. Their secondary structure includes four short double-helical elements and three loops (D, anti-codon, and T loops).
Source: RNAcentral